GCCUGCUCAGACGGGAUUCAGGGGCUCAGCCUGGAGAGCUUGACGGCUCUCCUAAAGCCGGUGUCGCAGGUUCGAAUCCUGCCGAGGGCAC
This 91-nucleotide transfer RNA is filed under the name Mycobacteroides abscessus subsp. bolletii. Its description in RNAcentral is "tRNA-Ser(gga)". The record is from RNAcentral. Lineage: Bacteria; Bacillati; Actinomycetota; Actinomycetes; Mycobacteriales; Mycobacteriaceae.